GGGGGCUAUCUUGGAAUCUGUAGGGGGAAGUCUGACGGAGCGACGCCGCGUGAGUGAUGAAGGCCCUUGGGUCGUAAAGCUCUGUCAUCAGGGACGAACGGUCACGUCAGGAAAUGGGCGUGAAUUGACGGUACCUGAGAAGGAAGCCACGGCUAACUACGUGCCAGCAGCCGCGGUAAUACGUAGGUGGCGAGCGUUGUCCGGAAUUAUUGGGCGUAAAGCGCGCGCAGGUGGGAUCUUAAGUCUGUUCUGAAAGUUCGGAGCUUAACUCCGUGAUGGGAUGGAAACUGGGAUUCUUGAGUAUCGGAGAGGAAAGCGGAAUUCCCCGUGUAGCGGUGAAAUGCGUAGAUAUGGGGAGGAACACCAGUGGCGAAGGCGGCUUUCUGGACGAUGUCUGACACUGAGGCGCGAAAGCCAGGGGAGCGAACGGGAUUAGAUACCCCGGUAGUCCUGGCCGUAAACGAUGGGUACUAGGUGUGGGGGGUGUCAACUCCUCCCGUGCCGGCGCUAACGCAAUAAGUACCCCGCCUGGGGAGUACGGCCCGCAAGGUUGAAACUCAAAGAUU
This 566-nucleotide ribosomal RNA is filed under the name uncultured bacterium. RNAcentral describes it as "bacterial SSU rRNA". It matches the Rfam family "Bacterial small subunit ribosomal RNA", at positions 344 to 909 of the family's 1533-position model. The record is from RNAcentral.